UACGUAGGGUGCGGGCGUUAAUCGGAAUUACUGGGCGUAAAGCGUGCGCAGGCGGUUUGCUAAGACAGGUGUGAAAUCCCCGGGCUUAACCUGGGAACUGCGCUUGUUACUGGCAAGCUUGAGUGUGGCAGAGGGGGGUGGAAUUCCACGUGUAGCAGUGAAAUGCGUAGAGAUGUGGAGGAACACCGAUGGCGAAGGCAGCCCCCUGGGCUAACACUGACGCUCAUGCACGAAAGCGUGGGGAGCAAACAGG
This 253-nucleotide ribosomal RNA is filed under the name uncultured bacterium. RNAcentral describes it as "partial 16S ribosomal RNA". It matches the Rfam family "Bacterial small subunit ribosomal RNA", at positions 524 to 776 of the family's 1533-position model. The record is from RNAcentral.